GAAAUGCGAUAAGUAAUGUGAAUUGCAGAAUUCAGUGAAUCAUCGAAUCUUUGAACGCACCUUGCGCUCCUUGGUAUUCCGAGGAGCAUGCCUGUUUGAGUGUCAUUUAAUUCUCAACCCCUCCAGCUUUUUGUAGCUGGCUUGGUGGCUUGGAUGUGGGGGAUUGAUUUUGCGGGCCUCCUCAGAGGUCGGCUCCCCUGAAAUGCAUUAGCGGAACUGUUUGCGGAACCGCCACUGGUGUGAUAAUUAUCUAUACCAAAGGCGACCGCUCUCUAGUAGCUCUGCUCCUAACCGUCCUGUUUCUCAUGGACAAUAAUAUCUGAAUGCUUGACCUCAAAUCAGGUAGGACUACCCGCUGAACUUAA
This 365-nucleotide unclassified non-coding RNA is filed under the name uncultured Tulostoma. Its description in RNAcentral is "sequence contains ITS1". The stretch from base 1 to 105 matches the Rfam family "5.8S ribosomal RNA", at positions 50 to 154 of the family's 154-position model. Lineage: Eukaryota; Fungi; Basidiomycota; Agaricomycetes; Agaricales; Agaricaceae. The record is from RNAcentral.